Molecule: ribosomal RNA, 449 nt
Filed under: uncultured bacterium
Lineage: Bacteria
Description: partial 16S ribosomal RNA
Rfam family: Bacterial small subunit ribosomal RNA
Source: RNAcentral
CCUACGGGGGGCUGCAGUGGGGAAUAUUGGACAAUGGGCGCAAGCCUGAUCCAGCAAUACCGCGUGUGUGAAGAAGGCCUUAGGGUUGUAAAGCACUUUCAAUAGGGAGGAAAACCUACCGGUCAAUACCCGGUAGCUUGACAUUACCUAUAGAAGAAGCACCGGCUAACUCCGUGCCAGCAGCCGCGGUAAUACGGAGGGUGCAAGCGUUAAUCGGAAUUACUGGGGGCGAAGCGUGAAUUGGCGGUUGAAAGCCCCGGGCUCAACCUGGGAACUGCAUUUGAAACUGGCGAACUAGAGUUGAGUAGAGGGGAGUGGAAUUUCAGGUGUAGCGGUGAAAUGCGUAGAUAUCUGAAGGAACACCAGUGGCGAAGGCGACUCCCUGGACUCAAACUGACGCUGAGGUACGAAAGCGUGGGUAGCAAACAGGAUUAGAUACCCCUGUAGUC